RNAcentral lists this ribosomal RNA (445 nucleotides) under uncultured Enterobacter sp. RNAcentral's name for it is "bacterial SSU rRNA". It matches the Rfam family "Bacterial small subunit ribosomal RNA", at positions 30 to 469 of the family's 1533-position model. Lineage: Bacteria; Pseudomonadati; Pseudomonadota; Gammaproteobacteria; Enterobacterales; Enterobacteriaceae. The record is from RNAcentral.
AUUGAACGCUGGCGGCAGGCCUAACACAUGCAAGUCGAACGGUAACAGGAAGCAGCUUGCUGCUUCGCUGACGAGUGGCGGACGGGUGAGUAAUGUCUGGGAAACUGCCUGAUGGAGGGGGAUAACUACUGGAAACGGUAGCUAAUACCGCAUAACGUCGCAAGACCAAAGAGGGGGACCUUCGGGCCUCUUGCCAUCGGAUGUGCCCAGAUGGGAUUAGCUAGUAGGUGGGGUAACGGCUCACCUAGGCGACGAUCCCUAGCUGGUCUGAGAGGAUGACCAGCCACACUGGAACUGAGACACGGUCCAGACUCCUACGGGAGGCAGCAGUGGGGAAUAUUGCACAAUGGGCGCAAGCCUGAUGCAGCCAUGCCGCGUGUAUGAAGAAGGCCUUCGGGUUGUAAAGUACUUUCAGCGGGGAGGAAGGGAGUAAAGUUAAUACCUU